Molecule: unclassified non-coding RNA, 256 nt
Filed under: uncultured Russula
Lineage: Eukaryota; Fungi; Basidiomycota; Agaricomycetes; Russulales; Russulaceae
Description: sequence contains ITS2
Source: RNAcentral
AAUUCUCAAAACCCUUUCUUUGGUCUCUUGAUCGGGGGAAGGAUUUUGGACUUGGAGGCCUUUUGCUGGUUUCAACUUGAAGCGAGCUCCUCCCAAAUGAAUUAGUGGGGUCUGCUUUGCCGAUCCUUGGCGUGAUAAGUCGUUUCUACGUCUUGGGUUUUGGCACUGUACCCCUGCUUCUAACCGUCUCAUCGACAAUGAUGGUGUUCCUGUCACCGCCGAUUCGUCGGUGGGAGGCUUGACCCACAAAAUGAAC